UACAGCCAUAUCAUGUUGAAACAGCGGUUUUCAUAUGAUCACCGAAGUUAACCAACAUUGUGCCUGGUCAGUACCUGGACGAGUGACUGCUUGAGAAUAACAGGU
Acanthosepion pharaonis is the source of this 105-nucleotide non-coding RNA. The record is from the annotation of a GenBank genome assembly. Lineage: Eukaryota; Metazoa; Mollusca; Cephalopoda; Sepiida; Sepiidae.